This 709-nucleotide long non-coding RNA is filed under the name Citrus maxima (pomelo). RNAcentral's name for it is "long non-coding RNA (CMAX_LNC000577)". The record is from RNAcentral. Lineage: Eukaryota; Viridiplantae; Streptophyta; Magnoliopsida; Sapindales; Rutaceae.
AGUAAUUGACGGAAUCCUGAAACGAAACGGAAUACUUUAUAGUUAAGGAAACAGAAAUAGAAACAAUAAAUAAAUAAAUAAAGGCCGAUGGACUUCAUUGUUCGUUACACUUUCCCGCGCGAAAAGAUCGAUCAUCUUUUUUGUCACCCCCUCCGCCAAAGUAGAACCAAAGUUUUGACAGAAAGCGCAAGAAAACGAGAGAAAAAGUGAGAGAAAAUUCAAUACCCACGUACCCAAAAAAAUAAAUAAAUAAAAGAAACAAACAAAUAAAUUGCUUGAUCGAUCCCCACCACCAACAGGAAUUUGGCUUCGAAGCCGGCCCCGUUUGCUUUUUGACGAGCAUCGUUUACCAGGUUCGAUACAUCAUCUAUCUGUUCACCCAAUUGGAUUUACUGUUUUGAUAUUUAUUCGGUUCUUGUGUUUGCUGCUAUCUCAUACUGAUGAUCCUGCAUGUUAUUUGAAUUUUUUUCUGAUAUAAUUCGAAAAUAAUUUCAGAGAGAGAAGAAAAAAAAAAAAGAUUUCGUAUGCUUUGAUGGAAAUCAAGCAAACCUUUACUCCCGUAAAUAUUUGUUUUUUUCUUGAAAAAGAAUCACAGUUUUGCUAUUUCGCUUGAUCUUAUGUAAACAGUGGCAACUUUUAUGUUAUUAAAUUCUUCUAUGAUGGGGGGUCCUAGUAACAUCAGAUGGCGUACGUUAGCACUAGGCGUGGC